CCCUUAGACGUUCUGGGCCGCACGCGCGCUACACUGACCAGUGCAACAAGCAUCCGUCCUUGGCCGACAGGCCCGGGCAAUCUUUGAACGCUGGUCGUGAUGGGGAUAGACUUUUGCAAUUUUUGGUCUUCAACGAGGAAUUCCUAGUAAACGCAAGUCAUCAACUUGCAUUGAUUACGUCCCUGCCCUUUGUACACACCGCCCGUCGCUACUACCGAUUGGAUGGUUUAGCGAGAACUUUGGACCGGAGCUCGGGUGGUCAGCAAUGGCCGCCCGAGACAUACUGGGAAAUCGCUCCAGCUUGAUCAUCUAGAGGAAGUAAAAGUCGUAACA
Molecule: ribosomal RNA, 333 nt
Filed under: uncultured eukaryote
Lineage: Eukaryota
Description: partial 18S ribosomal RNA
Rfam family: Eukaryotic small subunit ribosomal RNA
Source: RNAcentral